UUACCUUUUCGGCCUUUUGGCUAAGAUCAAGUGUAGUAUCUGUUUUUAUCAGUUUAAUAGUUUAAUAUUUGAUAUGUGAAUCAAUGGUUUACAUGAUAUUAAAUUAAUUAUUUUAAGGAAGAGUGCAUUACAAUAGCUUGCUAUUAGGGCUCUUGAGUGUCACCCAAGCAUUGCACUACAGCAUGGGCAUGGUGCGCGCAAC
Malus domestica (apple) is the source of this 202-nucleotide small nuclear RNA. RefSeq annotates it as U2 spliceosomal RNA. The record is from RefSeq and is a predicted model, not a curated record. Lineage: Eukaryota; Viridiplantae; Streptophyta; Magnoliopsida; Rosales; Rosaceae.